GAUGAACGCUAGCGGCAGGCUUAAUACAUGCAAGUCGAGGGGUCAGCAAUGACACCGGCGGACGGGUGCGUAACGCGUAUGCAACCUACCUACAUCAGGGGGAUAGCCCUAGGAAACUGGGAUUAACACCGCAUAAUAUUAUUAAUGGCAUCAUUGAUAAUUGAAAUAUUUAUAGGAAGUAGAUGGGCAUGCGUAAGAUUAGCUAGUUGGUAAGGUAACGGCUUACCAAGGCUACGAUCUUUAGGGGCUCUGAGAGGAGUAUCCCCCACACUGGCACUGAGAUACGGGCCAGACUCCUACGGGAGGCAGCAGUAGGGAAUAUUGGGCAAUGGAGGCAACUCUGACCCAGCCCAUGCCGCGUGCAGGAAGACGGCCCUCUGGGUUGUAAACUGCUUUUGAAUGGGAAGAAUGUGUGGCUUGCGAGCUAUAAUGACGGUACCAUUAGAAUAAGCCACGGCUAACUACGUGCCAGCAGCCGACGGUAAAA
Molecule: ribosomal RNA, 487 nt
Filed under: uncultured bacterium
Lineage: Bacteria
Description: bacterial SSU rRNA
Rfam family: Bacterial small subunit ribosomal RNA
Source: RNAcentral